GAUGAACGCUGGCGGCGUGCCUAAUACAUGCAAGUCGAGCGAACGGACGAGAAGCUUGCUUCUCUGAUGUUAGCGGCGGACGGGUGAGUAACACGUGGAUAACCUACCUAUAAGACUGGGAUAACUUCGGGAAACCGGAGCUAAUACCGGAUAAUAUUUUGAACCGCAUGGUUCAAAAGUGAAAGGCGGUCUUGCUGUCACUUAUAGAUGGAUCCGCGCUGCAUUAGCUAGUUGGUAAGGUAACGGCUUACCAAGGCAACGAUGCAUAGCCGACCUGAGAGGGUGAUCGGCCACACUGGAACUGAGACACGGUCCAGACUCCUACGGGAGGCAGCAGUAGGGAAUCUUCCGCAAUGGGCGAAAGCCUGACGGAGCAACGCCGCGUGAGUGAUGAAGGUCUUCGGAUCGUAAAACUCUGUUAUUAGGGAAGAACAUAUGUGUAAGUAACUGUGCACAUCUUGACGGUACCUAAUCAGAAAGCCACGGCUAACUCCGUG
Molecule: ribosomal RNA, 497 nt
Filed under: uncultured bacterium
Lineage: Bacteria
Description: partial 16S ribosomal RNA
Rfam family: Bacterial small subunit ribosomal RNA
Source: RNAcentral